RNAcentral lists this ribosomal RNA (449 nucleotides) under uncultured organism. RNAcentral describes it as "partial 16S ribosomal RNA". It matches the Rfam family "Bacterial small subunit ribosomal RNA", at positions 331 to 797 of the family's 1533-position model. The record is from RNAcentral.
GUACACUCCUGCGGGAGGCAGCAGUGGGGAAUAUUGGACAAUGGGCGCAAGCCUGAUCCAGCCAUGCCGCGUGAGUGAUGAAGGCCCUAGGGUUGUAAAGCUCUUUCACCGGUGAAGAUAAUGACGGUAACCGGAGAAGAAGCCCCGGCUAACUUCGUGCCAGCAGCCGCGGUAAUACGAAGGGGGCUAGCGUUGUUCGGAUUUACUGGGCGUAAAGCGCACGUAGGCGGACUAUUAAGUCAGGGGUGAAAUCCCGGGGCUCAACCCCGGAACUGCCUUUGAUACUGGUAGUCUUGAGUUCGAGAGAGGUGAGUGGAAUUCCGAGUGUAGAGGUGAAAUUCGUAGAUAUUCGGAGGAACACCAGUAGCGAAGGCGGCUCACUGGCUCGAUACUGACGCUGAGGUGCGAAAGCGUGGGGAGCAAACAGGAUUAGAAACCCCAGUAGUCCC